Taeniopygia guttata (zebra finch) is the source of this 2177-nucleotide non-coding RNA. NCBI's taxonomy places the organism in Eukaryota, Metazoa, Chordata, Aves, Passeriformes, Estrildidae. The record is from RefSeq and is a predicted model, not a curated record.
GAACCUGGAAGCACAGUCAAGGCACAGCUUUGAUUAAAAACAUCCAAUUCCAGAUUGCUGCCAAAUCGCUGUGCUAGGCUUGGAACUUGCACUUUCCUACUAAAUGGGACUCCCUGGACAGAAGGGAACAACAACAAGGAGGGGCCAUGAAGAUAUGCCCGAGGUCUCUAAAAUCACAAGCAAGCCAGGGAAUGUGAGGAGGAUAAGAUGCAGGGCAGAAGUUUUCUUGAAGCCACUGAAUGGGCCACAGGCUGGGCAAUGAAGAGCUCAUGCCAUUCCUGACCUUGUUGGGGGAAUUGUACCCAGCCUGGAGAGUGUGGGGACCACUCCCAAGGCUCACCUUUUGGUCACGUAGAUAUUCUGAUUGUUUUGUAAUAUACACAUUUGUUACAGAUGCUAAUAUGGCUACUCUUCUAAUAAAUAAUCAGUUCCUAAGGUAAAAUUAUACCUGCAAGCAAACACAGAGCUAAACUAGUACUUCACCAAAAUCCAGGUAUUUGUACUGCAGGGAAGCUAAAGUGUAUAAGGUAAGCAUUUUGAUAAUUUCCUCCAGCAGAACUGAACAAGGAUGGAAAACAGUAGGACUGUAUUUAAAUGAGCCCAAUACAGCAGAAGCUGAUAGCAUAAGAUAUUGCCUCUUGGGUUUUUGCAAAGCCCCAGGAAUGUAAGAAGGAGUUUAGCACAUAUAGAAUUGCAUUGCUUAAUGGUGUGCCAAAGGAUACCCAAGAUAAUAAGGACAGAAAGCAAGCCAGGGAGAAACCAGAAAAACUUUCUGUACGUUUAUGUAUUUUGACUCUGUAUUGGCCACACAUCUUGACACCCUGCUGUAUCCCAGAUAUUUCUCUCCCAGCAAGAAUUGGCACCUGCAGGUACAGUUGUGGAGGCACCAGUGUUGCUUGCUGAGGGAACUUGGUGUCAGCAGAAGCACCGGUCCCUUCCAGUGUCAAGCCAGAGCAGUUUGACACAAAACCUUCUAAAGUCACCAAAAUGUUCCUUAACUGUUUCAGCUACUUUGGGUGAAUUCUUAAUCUCCCUCCUCUGCCCCCUCACCAAAAACCUCAACACUUUGAACAUUUGGGUGAGGGAGUUCAUGCUGGUUGUUUAAGUACUGACACAGUGAUGCCAAACUGAAUUGUGCAGAGCCUGGAAGGGAAAGAGAUGAUCUCUUGCUGAGGGUUAGCAAACAACAGCAGGAACUGGGAUUUGUUGGACAUUGCAAACUUCCUUUCUGUCUUCUGAGGAGGCACUUCAGUUGCAUUAUCAGAGAGCCCAAAAUACAGUUUUCACAAUAAGCACAUGUUUCUCUUUAUCCUAUUUGAAGCAUAGACAGACAAGUCCAUAAAAACUCAAGUCUUCACAACAUUAUUAUUAUUAUCCCAGGGAAAGCAGCUUCAAAGGAUUUCUAUUGCAGAGGUGAACUAAAAUGAGUCAUUCUGUUAUUUUAUCUCAAGGUGUGUUUUAUUAAAGAGAGGUGCUAUCACAUAUAUAUAUAUAAAUAUAAAAUUACAUCCUCUUUUGUAUUGGCAAUUGUGCACCCAAAAAGCCUGAUCACUGCCUCCACUUUCAGAGGCUGUGUGUCAUCCUGCUGGAUUGUGGCCCCAGAGCAGGGAGCAGCAUGCAUCAGGCUAUUACUGGGCCAGUGCCUGGCUCUGGGUAUGAGAGGGGAAAUGGGUGAAAUGACAGCAAAUACACCCCUGAGCAGAGAGCUCUAAUGCUAAUGCCCUGGUUGCUGAUAAUGCUCCCAACCAAUCCAGCUGACAUAGUUUUCUGGAACCAGGGUAACUUUCCACCUGCACAGCUAUCUGGCUGUUUGCACUCUUCAUAGCUUAGUUUUGUCUACUCUGCUGUUAAGAUUUACCUCUAACUUUUCAGGACCAACACCAAAACUACUUUGUAAGGACUGUGCAGGUCUAAGAAACAAAGAGAAAGCAAUUCAAAAGACUGCCAGUCACACAAUAUAAAGUCACCCUGAUUCUGAUGGAAAGGGGAUCCUUUUCUCUCCCCUAACAGGAUGAACUUCACCCCUUUAUUAAUGCCCACCUAACUUCAGUAUCAGCACAAUUGUGUAAGGGACAGCUCAUGUAGGAAGUCCUAAAGGAGUGCACAUCACAAAUAUUUCUCAACAGAAAAGGUGGACAGGUUAUCAGGGCUGAGCUCCAGCUAAACCAGUCUGUCUA